Long non-coding RNA from Zalophus californianus (California sea lion), 392 nucleotides. RefSeq lists it as uncharacterized. The transcript has 3 exons. The record is from RefSeq and is a predicted model, not a curated record. NCBI's taxonomy places the organism in Eukaryota, Metazoa, Chordata, Mammalia, Carnivora, Otariidae.
GCUCAGAAACGUGAGGGGGUAUGCAAGAGGGCUCUGAGCCUAAUCUCAGUAGUCAAGAUUUUUAUGUCACAUUUUUAAACAAAAUUAUUGCAAAAGAUCCACUGUGAACAAAAAAGUCACAAUUUUACCCCAACAGAAUCUGACGGGGCCAGGAUUCGGGAAAGUCAAGUGAGGGCCUGAGUAGAGUGAGAAGCCUCACCCCCUUCCUGGCUCAGCUUCCAGGAUGUAUUUCUGUUGGGUCUCUGGGGUAAGAGUGGGGUCAGCACUGGGGAAUUUGGAGUCCAUUUCUCUACCCCACAACACAAACGACGUGGUUGUCACAGCUACAGUCCUCACCUGUGUCUCCACGGAUCCUUGGAGCUGGAGAGGAAUGGCCUGGGCUCCAGGUGGUA